AUAAUAGUCAGAUUUUCAAUUUUUAUUUAGAAAUUAUAUGUUACGAUCGACCAAAUAUGGAGUGGCCGAAGUUUUUAACGACCCAGCGACGGAGGCUCAGUCCAAAAAAGUAAUUAUAGGAGAAAGAAAGGAGAAAAGGAAAGAAAAAUAGGGUUAGAAUAUGAUCACAAUAUUGAAUUCGUUCUCAGCAUAUAUAAUAUAUAUAGGACGGGAAAUAUAAUAUUGAUAUAUAGUAAGAAUUAAAAAAAUGCCAAAUUAAGAAUUAAAUCACGUGUACCAACCUAUUCAUAUAUAUAUAUAGAUCGAAAUAAUUUAUGGUACUGCAUCAUUAAUAUUCGCAUGCACGGCGAUCACGCCUUUUAUAUGUAUACAUAUAGAUCACAUGCACACAGUACACUGCCAGACGUGUUUAUUAAUGCAUAUUUGCCUGAUUGCAUGGAGUGCAGGACCUCUACUCUCAUCGUCUCAGAAAUUCGAGGUUUCCUUGAAGAAGUUUUUGCAGUAGAUCAUACAUAUGUAUGGGAGUUUGCCGUCGACAUUGCAACGAUCGUCAAAUUAAACACAGUUGGAAUAACUGUACCUUUUUGCAAAAGGCCAGUUUUUGUGCUCAGAAUGAGGAAUAUAUAUAAUAAAUAAUCAAAAUAAGCAGUUUAUAAUUAAUUACUGCUUGGUGUGGAAUACUUCCUGCAUGACCUGCAGUCUAUAUAAUAUCAUUUAUAUAUGGUUCUUCAAUAAAUCUUAAAUAUGCAAUA
Long non-coding RNA from Juglans microcarpa x Juglans regia, 752 nucleotides. RefSeq lists it as uncharacterized. Lineage: Eukaryota; Viridiplantae; Streptophyta; Magnoliopsida; Fagales; Juglandaceae. The transcript has 2 exons. The record is from RefSeq and is a predicted model, not a curated record.